This 765-nucleotide long non-coding RNA is filed under the name Androctonus crassicauda. The record is from RNAcentral. Lineage: Eukaryota; Metazoa; Arthropoda; Arachnida; Scorpiones; Buthidae.
AUAGUAAUAAGAUUUAAUUAAAUAUAUGAUUAUAAUAAUAUAUACAGUAUAUGUAUACAAUGACAAAGAAACUAGGCUUAACAUCAAGAGGUGCAAGAUAUAUGAAAUACCGUUAAUCGAUUCUGUGGGGUGCCUGUCUGAGAUCAUCGGGUGAACAGUAACAGGCAUCAGGCACUUACUGCAGUUGCAUAGCACGUUUGUGAGUAAGGAUGAGUAAAGAGGCAAUACUCGGUGAAUCAGAGACUACAGUCUUGACAACAUUAAGCUUCCAUCUAUUUAGUCAAUAAGAGAGUCCUUUACAUAGAGUCCCCGACAAUUAAGAGAGGAAAUAUCUUGUAAAAGAAAGUCCAAAUAAAAGUUCUGAUUCACACUAUGAAAAUAUGAUGGAGGAAGGAUAAACUCUAGUAACUUGUCUGGAUAAAAGAUGGUAGAAUGGAGAAGGCAAAGAGGACGAUCAGAUAACUGAGAACAAUGAUGAGGUUCUCCUUCAAAAGGACGAUAGAUCUCUCCUUUUAUUUUUUUUCUUCGACCAUCAGUUCCCUUUUCUUUUUCUGUUCGCUGUUUCCUUCUCCGACCAUCAUUUUAUUACUGAUGACAGUUCCUUAUCUGAUCUUCAUUUUAUCACCAACAACAGUUCCUUCCCUCACAAUACACAUUUGUACAGACAGUGUAUACAUAUUUGAAUAAAACAGAAAAAUUAUGGUAAAAAUUAAAAAUAAAAAAAUAUUGUAUAUUGUCAAUAAAAUUAUACAGUUUUAGUAUAAU